This 497-nucleotide ribosomal RNA is filed under the name uncultured bacterium. RNAcentral describes it as "partial 16S ribosomal RNA". It matches the Rfam family "Bacterial small subunit ribosomal RNA", at positions 28 to 507 of the family's 1533-position model. The record is from RNAcentral.
GACGAACGCUGGCGGCGUGCCUAAUACAUGCAAGUAGAACGCUGAAACUUGGUGCUUGCACCGAGCGGAUGAGUUGCGAACGGGUGAGUAACGCGUAGGUAACCUGCCUGGUAGCGGGGGAUAACUAUUGGAAACGAUAGCUAAUACCGCAUAAGAGUAGAUGUUGCAUGACAUUUGCUUAAAAGGUGCAAUUGCACCACUACCAGAUGGACCUGCGUUGUAUUAGCUAGUUGGUGGGGUAACGGCCCACCAAGGCGACGAUACAUAGCCGACCUGAGAGGGUGAUCGGCCACACUGGGACUGAGACACGGCCCAGACUCCUACGGGAGGCAGCAGUAGGGAAUCUUCGGCAAUGGACGGAAGUCUGACCGAGCAACGCCGCGUGAGUGAAGAAGGUUUUCGGAUCGUAAAGCUCUGUUGUAAGAGAAGAACGAGUGUGAGAGUGGAAAGUUCACACUGUGACGGUAUCUUACCAGAAAGGGACGGCUAACUACGUG